RNAcentral lists this ribosomal RNA (300 nucleotides) under uncultured Enterococcus sp. RNAcentral's name for it is "bacterial SSU rRNA". It matches the Rfam family "Bacterial small subunit ribosomal RNA", at positions 495 to 795 of the family's 1533-position model. Lineage: Bacteria; Bacillati; Bacillota; Bacilli; Lactobacillales; Enterococcaceae. The record is from RNAcentral.
GGUUAACGACGUGCGAGCGGGCGGGGUAAUAAGAAGGGGGAAGGCGUUGAACGGGAGUAUGGGGACUAAAGGUGGGGCAGGCUGGCGGUGUAGGCGGAAGUGAAAGCCCACGGCACAACAGUGGAGGGUCAUUGGAAACUGGGGGACGUGAGUACAGAAGAGGAAAGCGGAAGUCCACGUGUAGCGGUGAAAUGCGUAGAGAGGUGGAGGAACAGCAGUGGCGAAGGCGGCUUUCUGGUCUGUAGCUGACGCUGAGGCGCGAAAGCGUGGGGAGCAAACAGGAUUAGAUACCCUAGAGUC